UUUUAAGAGUAAAAAUAACUAUCAGACUCAUAUAUCAAACCGCUUUUAUUUAACUUUGGAUAGAAAAAACAAAGUACUAUUAGACCAAUGAACCCACGUGCCAGUAACAAAUAUAUGCAUCAAUUAGGAAACAAUAUAUUAAAAAAUGCCCCUAUUUUUAUUAAAAAAUGGCAUAUCAACCACCUCUAGGGUUGGCAAAUUCCCCUUAGGGGGAUGUUUCAGCUCCACGGUGAUUCGGGGCCUCGUCGGGACGGGAGAGGGUUUUCACCCACAAGAACCUAGGAACAUUUAUUAAACUUUAAAAUAUAAUAAAUGGAAGACCCAUUAGCUAAAAGCCCAAUAUAAACCCUAGUGCAUGCCCUCUCAUUCUCUCACUCUUACCUUGACUCCUGAGCGGCGGCGGCGGCGCCGUAGCGCGGUGGGGUGAAGUAGAGGCAUGGCGGUCGACAUCUCCACGCCCUCUCCGACGAGUUGCGGUGAGUGCCUCCAUUUCUCUCAGUGCACUAUUCCUCGAGGGCACUGUCAGGGUCGGGAUCAGGGCCGGGGGAGGGUUUUACCCCGUUUUCAAUUUCAAGGCCAGGUCCAGGACGUUCUCGUCCAACCCGGCCCUAGCCCCGACAUGCCCUGUUGCUAACCCUAACCACCUUCACCAACUCUAUUUAUU
RNAcentral lists this long non-coding RNA (664 nucleotides) under Oryza brachyantha (malo sina). Its description in RNAcentral is "long non-coding RNA (OBRA_LNC003042)". The record is from RNAcentral. Lineage: Eukaryota; Viridiplantae; Streptophyta; Magnoliopsida; Poales; Poaceae.